Molecule: unclassified non-coding RNA, 1615 nt
Filed under: Hevea brasiliensis (rubber tree)
Lineage: Eukaryota; Viridiplantae; Streptophyta; Magnoliopsida; Malpighiales; Euphorbiaceae
Source: RNAcentral
CAAAACAAGCCUUUUGCCAAUUGGACGAGCCAGCAUCCAUUAUCUUACGUUCCUACAGAAAACAAGCUAGCCAAAUGGAUUAAAAGAUAAUUUUAUAUUCCAUCAAUUCAUCCAUUGAGUUGCUGACUCUUGCAUCAGACAAAUAUUUUUACUACGGCGAUACUAUUACCUCUAUGUGAAGAAGAUAUAAAUCUGAAUCGAGAACCAGAUUUUGUCUCACAUGAAACACCCAUCUUGGAAUGAUUUUGUCAAUCCAAACUCCAAAAUUUCUUGGGAAUAUAAAUAUCAAUCUGCUUCUACCAGGACUAACUGGAACACAGUAAAAAACAAGAAGCCCUCUUUGUUGUGGCACAUUUGAAUUUGAUGAUGGCUGCUGAACCAACCAACAGGAUUGGAAGUAAAGACACAGACAAAUAAAUCUGAAGUUGAAUAUGAUAAAAUCUAAAAUGAGAAAAAAAUGGAGUUGAAAGAAUGUCUUACCAUAUUGUUUCCAGCUGAUGACACUGAUCCAUUACCUUGAUCUGAUACAUUACCUGGAUUCACGGAAGUGAGACUAACAGCAGAAUAAUAUGUACAAGGUGCCAUAAAUCUGCUAUUCCCACCAUAUCGAGUAGCUUGGAAACCAUUUUUGUCCAACUUUUCAAUGCUGAUAUCAAUUGGUGCUCCUCCUUCUCUAUCAAGCUUAACUGUGAAAGAACAUAGUGUCAAUUAUAUAAAAAAAAAUGUUGCAUAUAACUAUAAACCAAAAUGGAAUACAAUGCCAAACAAAAGGUAGAAUUAAUUUAGAAGUUCUUAUCUGUUCUUGGAUGGUGGAUUUGGCAGCAGUUUAAAAUGUGCAUAAGGGACAUGAGAAGGGUCCAUUAGAUUUUCAAUCAAGAUUUCAUACCUGAAAAUGACCAUUUAGUUUACAUAUGAAUGAAUUAGGUGCAGAUUGAUAGAAAUAGAGAAGAGAUUUCCAUGUGUCCUUGAAGUAGUCAGAUUUUGUAGUACAUUUGUGGAAAUACUAAGCAAAAGAUAACAGAAGCAAUUAAUUUGCCACUUGCAGAAGACAACUUCUAUCCUCUUCUUUCCGCAGAUAAUAGCCAUGGCAACUAUAAAACUAAUACAAUUAAACAACUGUCUUGGAUCUUUAAAUUAUAUGUGCCUAGGAUUACUUAUGUCGUGCAGGCAAUUUGAGUAGUAUUUGCAUACAGGAACAUAGAAAUCAGCCCUAAUCUCUGUUAUAAAAGAAUGAUAAUUUGAUUAGGAAAGAAUCAGGAGUGACAUAUCAUAUCUUGCAUACCCAAAAGGAAAGUCUCUAUUUGCCAUUGGUUUGACGUAUGAUGGAUCAUCCAGUUCUGGAAUAUAUGGGGGUUUUUUCUUCGAAAGGAUAUCUUUGUAUUCAGGAUUGCUGUUUGGCCAAAACCACAAUAUGCCAUUCUGCACGGUACAUGGAUAAGCAGCAACACAUGCUUUCUUGAAUGUAUGGACCGGAGGACCAUCUGGGGGUGCCUGAGGAAUAAAUUUGCAGUCCCCAGAGCCAUUGAAACACCAACCAUGGUACACACAUUGCAAUCUCCCCCACUGAUCAAUCCUUCCUUCAGAUAAUGGUGCCAAUCUAUGAGGACAAGUAUCA